UGGGGAAUAUUGGACAAUGGGCGCAAGCCUGAUCCAGCCAUGCCGCGUGAGUGAUGACGGCCUUAGGGUUGUAAAGCUCUUUCAACGGUGAAGAUAAUGACGGUAACCGUAGAAGAAGCCCCGGCUAACUUCGUGCCAGCAGCCGCGGUAAUACGAAGGGGGCUAGCGUUGUUCGGAAUUACUGGGCGUAAAGCGCGCGUAGGCGGAUUGAUCAGUCAGGGGUGAAAUCCCGGGGCUCAACCCCGGAACUGCCUUUGAUACUGUCAAUCUAGAGUUCGAGAGAGGUGAGUGGAAUUCCGAGUGUAGAGGUGAAAUUCGUAGAUAUUCGGAGGAACACCAGUGGCGAAGGCGGCUCACUGGCUCGAUACUGACGCUGAGGUGCGAAAGUGUGGGGAGCAAACAGGAUUAGAUACCCCUGUAGUCC
This 424-nucleotide ribosomal RNA is filed under the name uncultured prokaryote. Its description in RNAcentral is "bacterial SSU rRNA". It matches the Rfam family "Bacterial small subunit ribosomal RNA", at positions 355 to 796 of the family's 1533-position model. The record is from RNAcentral.